Long non-coding RNA from Zonotrichia leucophrys gambelii, 484 nucleotides. RefSeq lists it as uncharacterized. The record is from RefSeq and is a predicted model, not a curated record. The transcript is spliced from 3 exons. NCBI's taxonomy places the organism in Eukaryota, Metazoa, Chordata, Aves, Passeriformes, Passerellidae.
CUCAUCCAGAAUGCAUCAUGUCUGGAAUUUUGCUGCUCCCCUUGGGAGGCCACCAGAGGCCAGGGCAUCUUGCUGUUAGAGCACCUUGGAUGACACCUUCUGAGAACUGUGCUCCUUAGCGACUGUGCUGCUUCUCUGGGUAUGUGUAAAGAGUGGGGGACUCUGAAGAACCUCUGCCAAAGUAGCUCUUUGUACAGUUGCUAUAAGGGCUGACAGAGUUGCCAACCAGGCUUACCUGUGAGCAUCUUAAUGAGGGCAACGAGAACGGAAUGUGGAUGUGCGUCAUGCAGCCCAACACGGUGACGGAGGCACUCAGCCCUCAUCAGAGACCUGACAACUGCUUUGUGUCUAUAAGAACAAUCUGGAAGGAAAUGUAUCGGUUCGUGAUAUUUGCCAUUAUUUGGUUGCAGUCAAUAAGUGUGUGUUUAUUAGCUUGGGCCUGCUGCUCUGAAUAAGACUGAUUGUCUCAUUAAGGAAAAUGAGU